CGUUUUUCUGUUUUCUGCUGCCGAAGAAAGUUCCUGGAAAGAAGGUCGUGGUGUGGUGGCCGAGAAAUGGGAGUACGACUUUCUACCUGCAAAUCUACUCACAAAGAAAAUGGCUAUUUCCUCCCUUGUUUUCCACCAUCUAUGCAAAUGUCAGCUGUCUUCACGCUUAGGGAUCUUUCGAAGCAAAUCUAAUCCAUUAUUCAUGAUUCUAAAGGUGGAUUACAUUGAGGCUUGUCCUUGAAGGCUUGCUGCCUUUAAAUACCUUCGGUUUCCACUGUAUUCAAGUGUAUUCAAGGCCACAA
Long non-coding RNA from Drosophila pseudoobscura, 302 nucleotides. RefSeq lists it as uncharacterized. The record is from RefSeq and is a predicted model, not a curated record. NCBI's taxonomy places the organism in Eukaryota, Metazoa, Arthropoda, Insecta, Diptera, Drosophilidae. The transcript is spliced from 2 exons.